AGGACGAACGCUGGCGGCGUGCUUAACACAUGCAAGUCGAGCGGAAAGGCCUUUCGGGGUACUCGAGCGGCGAACGGGUGAGUAACACGUGAGUAAUCUGCCCAUCGCUUCAGGAUAGCCAUCGGAAACGGUGAUUAAUACUGGAUAUGACUAUUCCUUCGCAGUUGGUUGGGGUGUGGUAAAGUUUUUUCGGCGGUGGAUGUGCU
This 206-nucleotide ribosomal RNA is filed under the name uncultured soil bacterium. RNAcentral's name for it is "partial 16S ribosomal RNA". It matches the Rfam family "Bacterial small subunit ribosomal RNA", at positions 26 to 231 of the family's 1533-position model. The record is from RNAcentral.